GCCAGCAUGGCAUAGUGGUUUCAGCAUUGGACUAUGACUCUGAAGACCAGGGUUCAAAUCUCUAUUUGGCC
Molecule: non-coding RNA, 71 nt
Organism: Phrynosoma platyrhinos (Desert horned lizard)
Lineage: Eukaryota; Metazoa; Chordata; Lepidosauria; Squamata; Phrynosomatidae
Source: the annotation of a GenBank genome assembly